GCAGCCGUAGCUUAAAGAAAGCAUAACACUGAAGAUGUUAAGAUGGGUCCUCAUAAACCCCGGAAGCA
Molecule: transfer RNA, 68 nt
Filed under: Grammatobothus polyophthalmus (threespot flounder)
Lineage: Eukaryota; Metazoa; Chordata; Actinopteri; Pleuronectiformes; Bothidae
Description: tRNA-Phe
Rfam family: tRNA
About the family: Transfer RNA (tRNA) molecules are approximately 80 nucleotides in length. Their secondary structure includes four short double-helical elements and three loops (D, anti-codon, and T loops).
Source: RNAcentral